This 675-nucleotide long non-coding RNA is filed under the name Manacus vitellinus (golden-collared manakin). RNAcentral's name for it is "lncRNA (ENSMVIG00005006431.1)". Lineage: Eukaryota; Metazoa; Chordata; Aves; Passeriformes; Pipridae. The record is from RNAcentral.
AAAGAGCAAUGGCAUUUUACAUCAUGUCCUGAAAGUCAUCAGUCCAUAACCACUAAGAAGUGAUGCAAAAUGCUGGUAAUCUCUGCCCAGCAAGCAAUCCGAGUCCAUGCGGAAAGCUCCUGAAAAACAUCAUCUGUGUAAGGAAGAAUUCCUUCCUACAUCUCGGUUACCAGGAGCAGGAAGCAGGCUGCAGCAGAUGAGGAUAGCUGAAAUCACAAAUCAGAGCGCCUACUUCUUGAUACUCCUGCCUCAGUUUUGUCUUCUGUGGACCUGGACUGGUAACAGCUUCCUGCCUACCGGGGAUGCUGCAAACAUUAUUGCACACUUAGCAGAUUAUGAGUGAGGCCAAGUUUGGACUCUGUGAGGAUUUUCAGACGCUCAAAUGGAUUGCCCAGUAGAGGGAGCAAAGGGAGCACUGUGGACACUGUACACUUUCAGAAACUCGCAGAAAGUCUUCACCCGUGCAAGCCAUCCUUAAGUGCUUCUCCCCAGUCCCGGGGCUGGGUCAGCGUGGGUUAGUGUGCCACUGAGCCAAGCAGAAACAACGACCAGGAGAAAAACGGCCUUUGGACAGCCAGGUCUUGAGUGGAUGCUGCCAGUGCAGCCAGACAGAGAGAGCAUAAACUGCUGGUGUUCAGGGUUUAAAAAUAUUUUCUUAAUACUUAUUUAAAUCCC